Lates calcarifer (barramundi perch) is the source of this 3656-nucleotide RNA transcript. It is a transcript of the gene named beta-1,3-glucuronyltransferase 1 (glucuronosyltransferase P) b, with no coding region annotated. The transcript has 9 exons. NCBI's taxonomy places the organism in Eukaryota, Metazoa, Chordata, Actinopteri, Centropomidae. The record is from RefSeq and is a predicted model, not a curated record.
AGAAAAGAGGAAGUGGAGUGUAUUCAUUUGGUGCGAGGGGAAAGGAUGGGAGCUAAACAGGAGCGGCAAAAACGUGAAGUGGAAUAAGAGGAGAGAAAGAGUGACAGAGAGAGGAAGAGCAAAGGGAGGAGAGUAGAAUAGAGGGAGGGAGGGUUUAGUGCCAAAUAAGCUGCCCCCCUCUUCUCCCACAUCUCAGUCUGUGAGCACUGGAGCACAGCGUGAGCUCUGGAGCGCAUUCUCGACAUGUACACCUGUAAGCCCUAUUCAUUCAUUCAGAGAUGCAGCAUUCAUGUAUGAAUGGCAGCGACACCGUUGAGACGUUAACAGCAGCAAAGAAUAUUUUAAAUCUGCCUUGAUGAGAUCAUUUGAGCUCGGAGGCAGAGGCACCGGAGGAGAAGAAGACAUGCACAAUUAAGGGGCUGGCACUGAGGACGCGACCCUGCCCAAGGAUUGGAUAGCACCCACCGGAUGCUGUGAACAAAAUCUGCUAGUUGUCACCCCAACUCUGCGGCUCGUAUGUGUACCAAACACGCUGUCCUUCACCAGGAAGAUAACUUGAUGGAUUCCUCUGGUCAUCACAGCUGACAUAUGAAGGCCCAGCACCAUUAUCAGCACCUUCAUCAUUAACACAGCACAACAGGAUUAGACUGUGUGAGGAAAGUGGAUCAUCAUUCAUUUCUGUAAAGGACUGAAGAUGUGCAUGGGACUAUUUUGCUGUAAUGAGGAUUUGCCCUGGAUAUAGUUUGCAGUGCCAAAGCCAAAGCUAAUAGGUUGGGACUUGAACACAGAAAAAAUGGACAAAAAAAUAAAGGGAUAAUCAAGUGAACUCAACCACUGAUCAAGUUUCCUCUUCUUGUCAAUCCUUGGAAUGACCAUGUGUGUUGGCUAUGAACUUAGGUAGUGACAUGACUCAGGUCUGACCCUGGAGAUGCCGAAGAGACGAGAUAUUGUCGCCAUUGUGUUGAUCGUGUUGCCUUGGACACUGCUCAUCACUGUUUGGCACCAGAGCACCAUCACUCCGCUGCUUGCUACUCGAAAGGAUGACAGACGUGGGGGUCGCUCCAACUCCAGGAAUACUUUUGCUUUCAAGGAGUCCUGCUCACUGCAGAACCGGGACAUCGUGGAGGUGGUGCGCACUGAAUAUGUCUACAGUCGACCUCCGCCCUGGUCCGACUUCCUUCCCACUAUCCACGUCAUCACUCCCACUUACAGCCGGCCGGUGCAGAAGGCAGAGCUGACACGUCUGGCCAACACCUUGCUCCACGUGCCUAACCUGCACUGGAUCCUGGUGGAGGACUCGCAGAGGAGGACCAGUCUGGUCAGCCACCUCCUCCUGGAGACAGGACUCAACUACACCCACCUCAAUGUGGAGACACCUAGAAACUAUAAAGUACGUGGAGACACUAGAGACCCCAGAAUACCACGUGGUACCAUACAGAGGAACCUGGCUCUGAGGUGGCUUCGAGAGACCUUCAACAUGAAUAACAGCCAGCCUGGGAUUGUUUACUUUGCAGAUGAUGACAACACAUACAGUCUGGAGCUGUUUGAGGAGAUGCGUUCUACACGGAAGGUGUCAGUGUGGCCUGUGGCUUUUGUGGGUGGCCUUCGGUACGAGUCCCCUAAAGUAAACACCUUGGGCAAGGUUUACGGCUGGAAGACUGUAUUCGACCCUCACCGGCCUUUUGCCAUCGACAUGGCUGGGUUUGCAGUGAACCUGCGCCUCAUUCUGUCUAAACCUCAGGCUUAUUUCAAGUUACGUGGGGUGAAGGGAGGAUAUCAGGAGAGCAGUUUAUUAAAGGAGCUGGUGACUCUCAGCGACUUGGAGCCUAAAGCUGCUAACUGCACUAAGGUAUUAGUAUGGCACACACGGACAGAGAAGCCUGUGCUGGUAAAUGAGGGCAAGAAAGGAUUUACAGACUCUAACGUGGAGAUAUGACAUACUUCAUCUGACACAGGUAAUAACAGAGAUUUAGAAAUGCAAAUUACAGCUUUUCCACGCAGUGAUUAUUUGGGGGGUGGAUCAAAGGAGGCAUCUUAGAACAUAUGUGCACCAAGAGAUAUGGACCCUACUUGAAAUAGAUGCCUGACCUUUAUGUAACAUGUUUAGGGGAUUUAGUUGAGCAGAAUUUGUUUGGAAAAGUUGAACAUUUUUGUUUGGUCAUCACAAGAAUUUUCACCUGUACAGUUAAAUAUCUGAACAUCUGCAGGGUGGGUUUUGUACAGAUAUUCAUGGUGCCCAGGGGAUAUAUCUUAUUGAUUUUGUGGUCACCUUACUGUUCCUCUAGCAUCUCUGCACAGUUGAUAAUUUUUGCUUUUUCCUGACAUGUCUCAACAACUGCUGAAUGGAUUGCCAUGAAAUUUGGAAUCAUGUUGGUGAUCAUCUGACCCAUCAGGAGAGGCAUUUCUCCAUGGGAUUCUACCUGGACUCAAACCAACCUCAGAGCUCCUAAGAGCAAUGGCCAGAGUCAAAUAAUAUCACAGCACAGUAGCUGUCCUUCAGCACAGCUUAGAAAUGGAGGAACACCCAUCCACCCCAGGAGGCAGCACAAAGCCAUGUGCGUGUACCGACCAGAGUAUCAAAGCACAACUGCACAAAAACAAGCCUGCCUGUUCUGUCUGGAGCACUGGCCAAUGCGAGACACUGGUAGGAGUUGCCAAAAGGAGCCCACUGAGGUCUGCUCAGAGAGUUGAGACAAAGGAUCUUACGCGACUUAAACUGCAGGAAGAGAUGGCACGGCAAGCAAUAAAGAGGCCUCUCAGCGCAGACAACACCAGCCAACCAUCCAAUCAGCAUUAAAUAGGGCCCUUUUGUUCUGAGGCAAGCUGGCUGUCGGGCACAGGGCUGCACAGAGGAAUAAAAGGGGUCCUUGUCUUAUGUGAGUCAGCACUGACUGACAGACUGCACUGGGAGAAUCUUAGCCCUCCCCACUUGUACUGUACAACACUGAGCUGUUUAGAUAGCACCCUGAACCCAGCACUAAUUAGGACUCCUGUUACUCCUCAACACACACGCUCAGCUGGCACACUGCACAUUAUGAGCACACAGACACACAUGCACUCAAAAACAGAGCAGUGAUUUAUUCUGGUGUAACAACAAUUACUCCAAGCUUUUGUUUAUUCCUGAUAUGCUGUAACACAACUGAGGUCUACUCAUAUUUAGGAGAAGAUUCAGUGUUCCUGGGGGACUGUUCACUUCACAGGCUUCCUCAUAAGCUAAUCAAAAAACCCAUUCAGUAAACUGAAGGUUUACUGAAGGCAGAAUUAUUUAUUGUUUCAGUGUAACUGUCUGGUACCAUUCACUUGUUAGUACGCUUGUGAGAGUCAAUAGGAUAUGAAGUCAUUACUCUAAAAACUGGAUGUGCAUCCUUUCAAAUAGCUGUAUUACAAAGUCUAAUUAUUCCCACCAUGGAUGGCUGGUUUGUAAGUGAUGAUUUUAUACCCCAUUGACUUGCAGUGGCACUGCUUACAAAUGCUAAUUGUUCACUCAAGACUCUGUGACUGUUAAGAGUUUGGUCAGUUAUCGAUGUGACAAGCAUCUAAAACCUUGAACUUUCUCUUUUAGAUAAGGGUCUGAUGUUGCUACUUUGUUGCUUGUGUUUCAUUUGAGAGGUGUUCACAUCACUUCUGCCUCAGCUCAUGUCAUCCCAUAAACCUGU